This 948-nucleotide ribosomal RNA is filed under the name uncultured organism. Its description in RNAcentral is "bacterial SSU rRNA". It matches the Rfam family "Bacterial small subunit ribosomal RNA", at positions 23 to 960 of the family's 1533-position model. The record is from RNAcentral.
CUCAGAACGAACGCUGGCGGCGUGCCUAACACAUGCAAGUCGAGCGCGAACGUCCCUUCGGGGAUUAGUAGAGCGGCGCACGGGUGAGUAACACGUGGCUAACCUACCCUUCAGUCUGGGAUAACGCGGGGAAACUCGCGCUAAUACCGGAUACGUUCCACGGAGGAAAGUGGGGGCUCUCUUCGGAGACCUCACGCUGAAGGAUGGGGCCGCGGUCCAUCAGGUGGAUGGUGGGGUAAUGGCCUACCAUGCCAAAGACGGAUAGCUGGUCUGAGAGGAUGAUCAGCCACACUGGAACUGAGACACGGUCCAGACUCCUACGGGAGGCAGCAGUGGGGAAUCUUGCGCAAUGGGCGAAAGCCUGACGCAGCAACGCCGUGUGUGCGAUGAAGGCCCUCGGGUCGUAAAGCACUGUCAGUAGGGAAGAUGGUUUUCCUGGCUAAUAUCCAGGGGGAUUGACGGUACCUACGGAGGAAGCACCGGCUAACUCCGUGCCAGCAGCCGCGGUAAUACGGGGGGUGCAAGCGUUAUUCGGAAUUAUUGGGCGUAAAGGGCGCGCAGGCGGCCUGUUAAGUCAGUUGUGAAAGCCCGGGGCUUAACCCCGGAAGUGCGAUUGAUACUGGCAGGCUUGAGUAUGGGAGAGGGAAGUGGAAUUCCUGGUGUAGAGGUGAAAUUUGUAGAUAUCAGGAGGAACACCGGUGGCGAAGGCGACUUCCUGGACCAAUACUGACGCUGAGGCGCGAAGGCGUGGGGAGCAAACAGGAUUAGAUACCCUGGUAGUCCACGCAGUAAACGGUGAUCACUAGGUGUAGCGGGUAUUGACCCCUGCUGUGCCGGAGUUAACGCAUUACGUGAUCCGGCUGGGGAGUACGGNCGCAAGGUUUAAACUCCAAGGAAUUGACGGGGGCCCGUACAAGCGGUGGAGCCUGUGGUUUACUUCGACGCAAC